UGCCUAGCAACUCCUAUCCCUACCUCCUCGUGGUACUGUCCGGGGUACGAGUAACCUUGGGGAAGAUCGGGUAACCUACCCCGGUGGGAGCUUUGGUCGUAUGCUGACAGGGAAGG
RNAcentral lists this ribozyme (116 nucleotides) under Aedes aegypti (yellow fever mosquito). RNAcentral's name for it is "drz-agam-1 ribozyme". It matches the Rfam family "drz-agam-1 ribozyme". Lineage: Eukaryota; Metazoa; Arthropoda; Insecta; Diptera; Culicidae. The record is from Rfam by way of RNAcentral.